GCUUGCUUUGGCAGUGCAUAUGCUAACGGAAUGAUACAGAGAAGGUUAGCCUGGCCACUGUGCAAAGAUGAUAUGCAAAUUUGUGACAGGUUCCACAUUAAG
Molecule: small nuclear RNA, 102 nt
Organism: Prionailurus viverrinus (fishing cat)
Lineage: Eukaryota; Metazoa; Chordata; Mammalia; Carnivora; Felidae
Source: RefSeq, a predicted model, not a curated record